This 245-nucleotide ribosomal RNA is filed under the name uncultured Nitrosococcus sp. RNAcentral describes it as "partial 16S ribosomal RNA". It matches the Rfam family "Bacterial small subunit ribosomal RNA", at positions 524 to 768 of the family's 1533-position model. The record is from RNAcentral. Lineage: Bacteria; Pseudomonadati; Pseudomonadota; Gammaproteobacteria; Chromatiales; Chromatiaceae.
UACAGAGGGUGCGAGCGUUAAUCGGAAUUACUGGGCGUAAAGGGCGCGUAGGCGGAUAGGAGGGUGAGAUGUGAAAGCCCUGGGCUCAACCUAGGAAGUGCGUUUCAAACUAACUAUCUGGAGUACAGGAGAGGGUAGCGGAAUUUCCGGUGUAGCGGUGAAAUGCGUAGAUAUCGGAAAGAACGCCGAUGGCGAAGGCAGCUACCUGGCCUGAUACUGACGCUGAGGCGCGAAAGCGUGGGGAG